UACGAAGGGGGCGAGCGUUGUUCGGAAUUAUUGGGCGUAAAGCGCGCGCAGGCGGUCCUUUAAGUCUGAUGUGAAAGCCCACGGCUCAACCGUGGAGGGUCAUUGGAAACUGGAGGACUUGAGUGCAGGAGAGAAGAGUGGAAUUCCACGUGUAGCGGUGAAAUGCGUAGAGAUGUGGAGGAACACCGGUGGCGAAGGCGGCAUCCUGGACCGGUAUUGACGCUGAGGCGCGAAAGCCAGGGGAGCAAACGGG
Molecule: ribosomal RNA, 253 nt
Filed under: uncultured bacterium
Lineage: Bacteria
Description: partial 16S ribosomal RNA
Rfam family: Bacterial small subunit ribosomal RNA
Source: RNAcentral